UGGCGAUUGCUGGAAGAAGACAUCGAGACGUCGUCGAACACGGACGAGCGGGCCUGACCCUUCGCUGUCUGUGGAGUACUGCGACCUGCGAGCGUCACCUGGUGCGGAUGAAAUCACAUGGAGGCCACAAAAAUCAUAUCAAGCAAAUUGUUGAGAAUCGAAUGGCCAAGUAUCGAUUGAAAAUUGAACACUGACUCACUUCACCAGGAAUCGCUCUGAAAAUAAUUUAAAAAGUACUUUCAACCACUGCUGCUCUGCACGCUGACUCACUUCACCAGGAAUCUUUCCAGAAACAUGUUACCAGAUCUUCUCGAUCCAACUAUUACUGCUCUGAAGCCUUAAAAUCAUUCACGUGAAUGACUCGCAAGUGGUUUUUUUCAAUGACUGUCUAUAAUUAUGCAUGAUUAACUUAACUCUUAUUAACUCAAUAACAUGACUAACCUCACUAACUUAAUUAGGCAGUUAAUAUAAAAACCACUUGUUGAGUUUUACUAUGAAGGUCUUAAUGGGGUUACGUGGAAGACACCGCUGCAUGAUUA
Long non-coding RNA from Ctenocephalides felis (cat flea), 539 nucleotides. RefSeq lists it as uncharacterized. The transcript has 5 exons. The record is from RefSeq and is a predicted model, not a curated record. Lineage: Eukaryota; Metazoa; Arthropoda; Insecta; Siphonaptera; Pulicidae.